UAAUUUCGACUCUUUGUAGGAGCUUUUGCGAGCAUUGGUUUUCGCUAGAGAUUUUUAGGUUCUUAAUUGGAACGAAAAGGAUUGCUUUCAGUUCGGACUUGAUCCCUUGAAGUUACCUCGUCUUUGUGUGAACUUCCAGUUUUCCUUCUACAUACAUAGUGAAUGUGGACAUAAAGUUACAGAAGAAAAGAGGGAGAUAAAGCCUCCACUUUUUGAAGCUCGUUGAAGUUUCAAAGCAAGGUCGAAUAGACUGCAAUUUAAAGCUGCGACAAACAAUGGUGGAAAUGUUUCGAACUUAGGUCCACAGAUGCAGCUUACAACAAGCUGGAAUGCUUUCCAGACAUGGAGAUCCCUACACUCUGAUUAUCAGUCGAAAGGAAUAUCAGUUUGGUAGCGAUGGGAAUUUGCAAGGAGUCGGUCUCUUCAUAAACAUGGAACCUAAAACUAGGCAUUUGGUAAGUGAACCUCAUGAUCACUGUCUUCUGGUUCUCACGCUCGAUUAAAGUGCAGCAUUGCGAAGGAGACUUUGUACACGUAUGUAAUGCUUAAAUAGGAGGCAAUAACAUGGAUCAUAAUGAUCAGUUUUAUGAAUGGGGAUGAAGAAUAUGCAUUUUACUUCUCCCUGAUAGGGUUUGCAAGUAUGAAGUUUUUUUUUUUUGGUUGUAGUCCAUCUUGAAACACAUGCCGUUCUAUAAAUUGUUCACUGAGGAAAACAAAGAAGGAAGUUUUUAGUAUGUUAUGUUGCACAUUCGACGGAAGAGUCUUAGAAAGCAUGACAACUACGACAAUUCCUUUAAAUUUUUGGAGAAUGUCAGCUACUCUCUCUCCUAUGUCUGUCUGGACAAUUUUCCGUGGUUUCCAUGAUCUUAAGCUGCCAAAUUGACUCAGUAUACUUUCUUAAA
Molecule: long non-coding RNA, 902 nt
Organism: Rhododendron vialii
Lineage: Eukaryota; Viridiplantae; Streptophyta; Magnoliopsida; Ericales; Ericaceae
Exons: 3
Source: RefSeq, a predicted model, not a curated record